RNAcentral lists this ribosomal RNA (388 nucleotides) under Bacillus cereus. RNAcentral's name for it is "bacterial SSU rRNA". It matches the Rfam family "Bacterial small subunit ribosomal RNA", at positions 1147 to 1533 of the family's 1533-position model. Lineage: Bacteria; Bacillati; Bacillota; Bacilli; Caryophanales; Bacillaceae. The record is from RNAcentral.
GACUGCCGGUGACAAACCGGAGGAAGGUGGGGAUGACGUCAAAUCAUCAUGCCCCUUAUGACCUGGGCUACACACGUGCUACAAUGGACGGUACAAAGAGCUGCAAGACCGCGAGGUGGAGCUAAUCUCAUAAAACCGUUCUCAGUUCGGAUUGUAGGCUGCAACUCGCCUACAUGAAGCUGGAAUCGCUAGUAAUCGCGGAUCAGCAUGCCGCGGUGAAUACGUUCCCGGGCCUUGUACACACCGCCCGUCACACCACGAGAGUUUGUAACACCCGAAGUCGGUGGGGUAACCUUUAUGGAGCCAGCCGCCUAAGGUGGGACAGAUGAUUGGGGUGAAGUCGUAACAAGGUAGCCGUAUCGGAAGGUGCGGCUGGAUCACCUCCUUU